AAGGAAUAUUGGUCAAUGGACGCAAGUCUGAACCAGCCAUGCCGCGUGAAGGAUGAAGGUCCUCUGGAUUGUAAACUUCGUUUAUCUGGGACGAAAACGGGAUUUUUAUCUCAAUUGACGGUACCAGAGGAAUAAGCACCGGCUAACUCCGUGCCAGCAGCCGCGGUAAUACGGAGGGUGCGAGCGUUAUCCGGAUUUACUGGGUUUAAAGGGUGCGUAGGUGGGCUUAUAAGUCAGUGGUGAAAUCUCCGAGCUUAACUUGGAAACUGCCGUUGAUACUAUAGGUCUUGAAUUAUCUGGAGGUAAGCGGAAUAUGUCAUGUAGCGGUGAAAUGCUUAGAUAUGACAUAGAACACCAAUUGCGAAGGCAGCUUACUACAUAUAAAUUGACGCUGAGGCACGAAAGCGUGGGGAUCAAACA
RNAcentral lists this ribosomal RNA (420 nucleotides) under uncultured bacterium. Its description in RNAcentral is "bacterial SSU rRNA". It matches the Rfam family "Bacterial small subunit ribosomal RNA", at positions 356 to 774 of the family's 1533-position model. The record is from RNAcentral.